UACGUAGGGUGCAAGCGUUGUCCGGAAUUAUUGGGCGUAAAGAGCUCGUAGGCGGUUUGUCGCGUCUGCCGUGAAAGUCCGGGGCUCAACUCCGGAUCUGCGGUGGGUACGGGCAGACUAGAGUGAUGUAGGGGAGACUGGAAUUCCUGGUGUAGCGGUGAAAUGCGCAGAUAUCAGGAGGAACACCGAUGGCGAAGGCAGGUCUCUGGGCAUUAACUGACGCUGAGGAGCGAAAGCAUGGGGGAGC
This 247-nucleotide ribosomal RNA is filed under the name uncultured bacterium. RNAcentral's name for it is "partial 16S ribosomal RNA". It matches the Rfam family "Bacterial small subunit ribosomal RNA", at positions 524 to 769 of the family's 1533-position model. The record is from RNAcentral.